This 253-nucleotide ribosomal RNA is filed under the name uncultured bacterium. RNAcentral describes it as "partial 16S ribosomal RNA". It matches the Rfam family "Bacterial small subunit ribosomal RNA", at positions 524 to 776 of the family's 1533-position model. The record is from RNAcentral.
UACGUAGGGGGCAAGCGUUAUCCGGAAUUACUGGGUGUAAAGGGUACGUAGGCGGUUCACUAAGUCAGAUGUGAAAGCCCGAGGCUCAACCUCGGGACUGCAUUUGAAACUGAUGAACUAGAGUACAGGAGAGGUAAGUGGAAUUCCUAGUGUAGCGGUGAAAUGCGUAGAUAUUAGGAAGAACACCAGUGGCGAAGGCGGCUUACUGGACUGUAACUGACGCUGAGGUACGAAAGCGUGGGGAGCGAACAGG